AUGAAUUUGCAGAAGAAUCAAGGUUGAAUUAUGGUGUAUUAAGAAGUUUAAGAAUUAAGAAAUUUGCAGAUUGAGGUAUCAUGGUGGAAAAAGUUGACAGACUUGGAAAUAUCAUGUAUUACCUAUGGCCGUAUAUCUUAAGUGCAGGAUUUUGUCUUCCAGAAGAAGGAAAUUAUGGGUUUUAGGAGAGUAGUAGGAAGAACUCAGUUAACGGUUGG
Molecule: long non-coding RNA, 218 nt
Organism: Pistacia vera
Lineage: Eukaryota; Viridiplantae; Streptophyta; Magnoliopsida; Sapindales; Anacardiaceae
Exons: 3
Source: RefSeq, a predicted model, not a curated record